Molecule: ribosomal RNA, 465 nt
Filed under: uncultured Klebsiella sp.
Lineage: Bacteria; Pseudomonadati; Pseudomonadota; Gammaproteobacteria; Enterobacterales; Enterobacteriaceae
Description: bacterial SSU rRNA
Rfam family: Bacterial small subunit ribosomal RNA
Source: RNAcentral
CCUACGGGUGGCAGCAGUGGGGAAUAUUGUACAAUGGGCGCAAGCCUGAUGCGGCCAUGCCGCGUGUGUGAAGAAGGCCUUCGGGUUGUAAAGCACUUUCAGCGGGGAGGAAGGCGGUGAGGUUAAUAACCUCAUCGAUUGACGUUACCCGCAGAAGAAGCACCGGCUAACUCCGUGCCAGCAGCCGCGGUAAUACGGAGGGUGCAAGCGUUAAUCGGAAUUACUGGGCGUAAAGCGCACGCAGGCGGUCUGUCAAGUCGGAUGUGAAAUCCCCGGGCUCAACCUGGGAACUGCAUUCGAAACUGGCAGGCUAGAGUCUUGUAGAGGGGGGUAGAAUUCCAGGUGUAGCGGUGAAAUGCGUAGAUAUCUGGAGGAAUACCGGUGGCGAAGGCGGCCCCCUGGACAAAGACUGACGCUCAGGUGCGAAAGCGUGGGGAGCAAACAGGAUUAGAUACCCGAGUAGUC